AUUGAACGCUGGCGGCAGGCUUAACACAUGCAAGUCGAGCGAGCGGCGGACGGGUGAGUAAUGUCUGGGAAACUGCCUGAUGGAGGGGGAUAACUACUGGAACCGGUAGCUAAUACCGCAUACCAUCAGAUGUGCCCAGAUGGGAGUAGCUAGUGGGUGGGGUAAUGGCUCACCUAGGCGACGAUCCCUAGCUGGUCUGAGAGGGUGACCAGCCACACUGGGACUGAGACACGGCCCAGACUCCUACGGGAGGCAGCAGUGGGGAAUAUUGCGCAAUGGGCGAAAGCCUGAUGCAGCAACGCCGCGUGUGUGAAGAAGGCCUUCGGGUUGUAAAGCACUUUCAGCGAGGAGGCGUUACUCGAAGAAGAAGCACCGGCUAACUCCGUGCCAGCAGCCGCGGUAAUAC
Molecule: ribosomal RNA, 406 nt
Filed under: uncultured bacterium
Lineage: Bacteria
Description: partial 16S ribosomal RNA
Rfam family: Bacterial small subunit ribosomal RNA
Source: RNAcentral